GAUGAAGAACGCAGCGAAAUGCGAUAAGUAAUGUGAAUUGCAGAAUUCAGUGAAUCAUCGAAUCUUUGAACGCACAUUGCGCCCUCUGGUAUUCCGGGGGGCAUGCCAGUUCGAGCGUCAUUAUAACCACUCAAGCUCUCGCUUGGUAUUGGGGUUCGCGGUUCCGCGGCCCCUAAAAUCAGUGGCGGUGCCUGUCGGCUCUACGCGUAGUAAUACUCCUCGCGAUUGAGUCCGGUAGGUCUACUUGCCAGCAACCCCCAAUUUUUACAGGUUGACCUCGGAUCAGGUAGGGAUACCCGCUGAACUUAAGCAUAUCAAUAAGCGGAGGA
This 329-nucleotide unclassified non-coding RNA is filed under the name soil metagenome. Its description in RNAcentral is "partial contains 5.8S ribosomal RNA, internal transcribed spacer 2, and large subunit ribosomal RNA". The stretch from base 1 to 120 matches the Rfam family "5.8S ribosomal RNA", at positions 35 to 154 of the family's 154-position model. The record is from RNAcentral.